Molecule: ribosomal RNA, 441 nt
Filed under: uncultured bacterium
Lineage: Bacteria
Description: partial 16S ribosomal RNA
Rfam family: Bacterial small subunit ribosomal RNA
Source: RNAcentral
CCUACGGGAGGCUGCAGUGGGGAAUAUUGCACAAUGGGGGCCACCCUGAUGCAGCGACGCCGCGUGCGUGCAGAAGUAUUUCGGUAUGUACAGCUCUAUCAGCAGGGAAGAAGAUAGCCAGUACCUGACUAAGAAGCCCCGGCUAAAUACGUGCAAGCAGCCGCGGUAAUACGUAGGGGGCAAGCGUUAUCCGGUUUUACUGGGUGUAAAGGGACCGUAGACGGCUGUGCAAGUCUGAAGUGAAUGCCCAGGGCUCAACCCUGGGACUGCUUUGGAAACUGUGGAGCUAGAGUGCUGUAGAGGUAAGUGGAAUUCCUAGUGGAGCGGUGAAAUGCGUAGAUAUUAGGAGGAACACCAGUGGCGAAGGCGGCUUACUGGACAGUAACUGACGUUGAGGCUCGAAAGCGUGGGGAGCAAACAGGAUUAGAUACCCCGGUAGUC